RNAcentral lists this ribosomal RNA (791 nucleotides) under uncultured Bacteroidota bacterium. RNAcentral's name for it is "uncultured Bacteroidetes bacterium partial 16S ribosomal RNA". It matches the Rfam family "Bacterial small subunit ribosomal RNA", at positions 31 to 809 of the family's 1533-position model. Lineage: Bacteria; Pseudomonadati; Bacteroidota. The record is from RNAcentral.
AAACGCUGACGGCGCGCUAAUACAUGCAAGUCGAACGGUGUCUUCGGACAUAGUGGCGCACGGGUGCGUAACACGUAUGCAACCUACCUUACAUUGGGGGAUAGCCUUUCGAAAGGGAGAUUAAUACCGCAUAAGACAGUAGCUGGGCAUCCAGCAGCUGUUAAAGAUUUAUCGAUGUAAGCUGGGCAUGCGUCCAAUUAGCUAGUUGGUGAGGUAACGGCUCACCAAGGCAAUGAUUGGUAGGGGAACUGAGAGGUCAAUCCCCCACACUGGCACUGAGAUACGGGCCAGACUCCUACGGGAGGCAGCAGUAGGGAAUAUUGGGCAAUGGACGCAAGUCUGACCCAGCCAUGCCGCGUGCAGGAUGAAGGCGUUAUGCGUUGUAAACUGCUUUUAUACAGGAAGAAACGACUCUUGCGAGAGGCAUUGACGGUACUGUAUGAAUAAGCACCGGCUAACUCCGUGCCAGCAGCCGCGGUAAUACGGAGGGUGCAAGCGUUGUCCGGAUUUAUUGGGUUUAAAGGGUGCGCAGGUGGUUUAUUAAGUCAGUGGUGAAAGACGGUCGCUCAACGAUUGCAGUGCCAUUGAAACUGGUAGACUUGAGUAAGUAAGAGGUGGGCGGGAAUUGAUAGUGUAGCGGUUGCACAACAUUGCCAUAGAUUUACUCCAGAACCUCCAAUUUGCCGUAAGGCAGCUACACAUUUGGGCUUUUACUGACAACUCAUGCACGAAAGUUGUGGGUAUCAAACCAGGAUUAGAUACCUGCGUAAUCCACACCACUGGUUAAACCG